This 619-nucleotide long non-coding RNA is filed under the name Monodelphis domestica (gray short-tailed opossum). RNAcentral describes it as "lncRNA (ENSMODG00000026709.2)". Lineage: Eukaryota; Metazoa; Chordata; Mammalia; Didelphimorphia; Didelphidae. The record is from RNAcentral.
CGAGUUAUAUAUUUUGUGGGACAUCUACUACAAAGAUCAGUCUUAUCUAUAGGCUGUGUCAGCAUUGUCUAUGGACCUCAGGGACCUGGAAAAGGCCUUAAACUCCCUCAAAUCUUCUUCCCAACAGAUAAGUUGUUACUUGAAAUUCAACUACUCAGGUCUUGUGUCUUAAGGAUUUUGUGCAAGGUCUUCCUGUGUCCUGUCCCAGAGCAUCUUCAAAGGGAGCCAGUAUGCACUUCAUGGAAGGCAGAUUGCCACAUGCAGAGCCUCAUUUGGAUGUAUCUGGAGUCUUGGAAGCUUGUUUGCCCUAUGUUCUCCUACAAAUGGACCUUGGGAGCUCAUUCUAGUAGAGCAGUAGAGCUACCUGUAUACCCUUGACUGAAGAAUGGGGGUGGGGGAGGUGGUCUUCUUUGACCAAGCAUGCAGUGUUGGGAGGGAUGCACAUGGAGAGAUGAGGGAGGAGUGGGCCAACCACCUAGACAUCCAGAUCAGGUGAAGCAACCCUGGAGAGAUCAAUAGGCUGACAUGCCGCAGGCAAAACAUAGCUUAAAUGCCCUCCAUGAAAGCCUUCUCUUUUCUCCUAGCUGGAAAUGUUCUCCCAUCUUCUGUAUUUGGAGUU